Long non-coding RNA from Cyprinus carpio carpio, 661 nucleotides. NCBI's taxonomy places the organism in Eukaryota, Metazoa, Chordata, Actinopteri, Cypriniformes, Cyprinidae. The record is from Ensembl.
AUUAAGAUGAUGGAUUGUGAGCGGCCUCAUUAAGUCACGCACCGCUGCUGACAGUACCGCCUGUCCUUUAAGACUGACACAGUGCCUAUUGUAAGGAAAUGGAAGAGUGCAGUGUUUGCAGUGUUGAGGAUGCCAUCAGGAAAAGCUGUCAUGGGUUCGCCAGCAGCUGUACGCUCCUUUUGGUAAUCCAUCUUCAUUGCUGAGAAGUAUACCGUGUUGUGACAGAACGGACACUGAGAGAUUCUAGAAAAUGGAAAGCAGGUACCUAACACAGAUACAGCCAGACAACCAAUCAGACCUCCAAUAUAUGCACUGGACUGGAUGGAGAAACUCAGCCGCCAGCCAAUAACACGCAAGACAGAGUGAGACGAGUAUCUGAAUCUGCUGAUGUAUCGCUGCAUUUUCUGCACUGGUUCUGCAGGACAAUUUGGGGAUUUAAACAUGACAUUAAAUGGUGAAAGCCGUAACUGAAAGCAUUUCAAUUUUGACAAAAAUUAAAUUAACAAACACACCAGCUGUGAAGAAGAAGAACUACAUUGCUGGUGUUACAAUUCUAUGGAUAUCCAUUAGAUAUCUAUAAAAUGCAAGUAAUGAUAUAAUUGUGCACAAGUAGGAUAGCAGUCUUAACUUUUAAAAGGGAAAAGGAAAUCAUAAAAAAUAU